RNAcentral lists this unclassified non-coding RNA (441 nucleotides) under Hevea brasiliensis (rubber tree). Lineage: Eukaryota; Viridiplantae; Streptophyta; Magnoliopsida; Malpighiales; Euphorbiaceae. The record is from RNAcentral.
GGGCGUAAUCUCAGCUACAUAAAUUGGUACCACAUAAGAAAGAAGCCCCAUCCCGUAUCCUACCAACAGUCUUCCAACAUUGAGCCACCAAGAAGCCUUUGAGAAUGCUAUUGCAAGCCAUCCUAUGAUGCAAAACAUUUCUGAGAAGCCCAUUAUGCCUCUUCGACCAGUGUAAUCUGCUAUCCUCCCACUCAUUAUUGCGCCUACCAUUGCCCCGAUUGUUAAAAUAGAACCAAAAACUGAGUACUCUGCCAAAGAUAGACCCAGGUCGUCCAUGAUUCCAGACUGAGUGGGUGAUGAAUAUCCUACAGCUGAGCCGAAAACAUAUGAACCAGAAACAGCAACCAGGGUGCUUAUCACCAACACAGUAGUUGCUGAAGAUCCUCCACUCUGCACUUCUCCACUAACACAGGCAUCAUCUCUUCCACGUAUCUGAGAUCU